This 508-nucleotide ribosomal RNA is filed under the name uncultured bacterium. Its description in RNAcentral is "bacterial SSU rRNA". It matches the Rfam family "Bacterial small subunit ribosomal RNA", at positions 28 to 521 of the family's 1533-position model. The record is from RNAcentral.
GACGAACGCUGGCGGCGUGCCUAACACAUGCAAGUGGAGCGACGAACCAGGCUUCGGCCUGGAGCAAAGCCGCGAACGGGUGAGUAACACGUGGGUAACCUGCCCCGAUGAUCGGGACAACCCGGGGAAACCCGGGGCUAAUACCGAAUAAGCUCGCAGCUCAUGAGGGCUGUGAGGAAAGGAAGCUUCGGCCUCCGCAUCGGGAUGGGCCCGCGGCCCAUUAGCUUGUUGGUGGGGUAAUGGCCUACCAAGGCAUCGAUGGGUAGCUGGUCUGAGAGGACGAUCAGCCACACUGGGACUGAGACACGGCCCAGACUCCUACGGGAGGCAGCAGUGGGGAAUCUUGCGCAAUGCGCGAAAGCGUGACGCAGCAACGCCGCGUGGGGGAAGAAGGCUUUCGGGUCGUAAACCCCUUUCAGUUGGGACGAAGCUUCGCCGGUGAAUAGCCGGCCGGAGUGACGGUACCUUCACAAGAAGCCCCGGCUAACUACGUGCCAGCAGCCGCGGU